UGGGCAGGCCGGGUGAUCGCGGGCGGAAGUACUCCGUUCGAGGAAAGUCCGCGCUCCAAAGAGCACGGUGCCGGGUAAUACCCGGGUGGGGUAACUCACGAAAAGGGCCACAGAAAAUGUCCGCCCCAUUAGUGGGGUAAGGGUGAAAAGGUGGUGUAAGAGACCACCGGCGUUGCCAGCAAUGGCAUCGGCCAGGCAACCUCCACCGGGAGCAAGGCCAAGCAGAGGUGAAGCUCAUCAGAGCGGGGAACUGCUCGUUCCCAUCGAGUCUCGGGUAGGCUGCUAGAGCUCAGCGGAAACGCUGAGCCCAGAUAGAUGAUCACCAAGUUGUUCUAUCGUGGGAUUCGGGAUUUCCCGGGUGCCAUAAUUCGACAGCAGACAGAACGCGGCUUAUAGGCUCGCCCACACA
RNAcentral lists this RNase P RNA (409 nucleotides) under Anaerolineales bacterium. RNAcentral's name for it is "RNase P RNA component class A". It matches the Rfam family "Bacterial RNase P class A". Rfam says of the family: Ribonuclease P (RNase P) is a ubiquitous endoribonuclease, found in archaea, bacteria and eukarya as well as chloroplasts and mitochondria. The record is from RNAcentral. Lineage: Bacteria; Bacillati; Chloroflexota; Anaerolineae; Anaerolineales.